CUCAGCCCCGGCUUGGUGUUGGGCUCUCGGUCUCUGUUCCAGUGAUCGGCCUCAAAGAUAGUGACGGCGUCCCAGAGGGAACCGGUACGAGGAGCUUCUAAUCAAGCAUGUACGCGGGACGACUCUGCGGGCGACGGUCUUUUUACAAAACUUUUAUAAGUGUUGACCUCGGAUCAGGUAGGAAUACCCGCUGAACUUAA
Molecule: unclassified non-coding RNA, 200 nt
Filed under: soil metagenome
Description: partial contains internal transcribed spacer 2 and large subunit ribosomal RNA
Source: RNAcentral